AAAGUCGUAACAAGGUUUCCGUAGGUGAACCUGCGGAAGGAUCAUUAUAAAUUUGGUAUUCACUACCGAUUGACUAAUGUGCACCUAAUUGCUCGUUGUCGCGUGGUCGAAAGACCUGCGGCAGCGUAUUACUUUGAUUACUUUGUGUAAACACUAGUGUCUUGAAAUCCGUCACUUGCCUUGCGCUUGCUGACACUAAGGGUAAAUGAAAACUUUUAGCAACGGAUCUCUAGGCUCUC
This 239-nucleotide unclassified non-coding RNA is filed under the name Basidiomycota sp. RNAcentral describes it as "partial contains small subunit ribosomal RNA, internal transcribed spacer 1, and 5.8S ribosomal RNA". The stretch from base 1 to 47 matches the Rfam family "Eukaryotic small subunit ribosomal RNA", at positions 1785 to 1831 of the family's 1831-position model. Lineage: Eukaryota; Fungi; Basidiomycota. The record is from RNAcentral.